UGGACCAGUGAUGAUGACUGAUGAUAAUGGAGUCAUGGGCGAUGAGAAAAUAUGUGUCUGAAACUCUGAGGUCCAA
Molecule: small nucleolar RNA, 76 nt
Organism: Bison bison bison
Lineage: Eukaryota; Metazoa; Chordata; Mammalia; Artiodactyla; Bovidae
Source: Ensembl